RNAcentral lists this ribosomal RNA (434 nucleotides) under Chironius monticola. Its description in RNAcentral is "partial 12S ribosomal RNA". Lineage: Eukaryota; Metazoa; Chordata; Lepidosauria; Squamata; Colubridae. The record is from RNAcentral.
CGCCAAAACUACGAGUAAAAACUUAAAAUUUAAAAGACUUGACGGUACCUCACAACAACCUAGAGGAGCCUGUCUAAUAACCGAUAUUCCACGAUCAACCCGACCCCCCCUAGCCUAACAGUCUAUAUACCGCCGUCGCCAGCCUACCUUAUGAAAGAAACAAAGUAAGCCAAAUAGUCACACACUAAUACGACAGGUCGAGGUGUAACUAAUGAGGGGGCCCAAGAUGGGCUACAUUUUCCAAUAUAGAAAACACGAAUAAACUAUGAAACAAGAAACUGAAGGCGGAUUUAGCAGUAUACUAAGAACAAAAUACAUGGUAGAAACCAACGCAAUGAGGUGCGUACACACCGCCCGUCAUCCCUGUCAACCAACUACUUAAUCUCCAUAAACAAAAUAAUCACCCAAAACAGGGCAAGUCGUAACAAGGUAAG